RNAcentral lists this ribosomal RNA (455 nucleotides) under uncultured bacterium. Its description in RNAcentral is "bacterial SSU rRNA". It matches the Rfam family "Bacterial small subunit ribosomal RNA", at positions 340 to 786 of the family's 1533-position model. The record is from RNAcentral.
UACGGAAGGCAGCAGUGGGGAAUAUUGCACAAUGGGCGCAAGCCUGAUGCAGCCAUGCCGCGUGUAUGAAGAAGGCCUUCGGGUUGUAAAGUACUUUCAGUCGUGAGGAAGGUGUUAAGGUUAAUAACCUUAGCAAUUGACGUUAGCGACAGAAGAAGCACCGGCUAACUCCGUGCCAGCAGCCGUGGUAAUACGGAGGGUGCGAGCGUUAAUCGGAAUUACUGGGCGUAAAGGGCACGCAGGCGGUUAAUUAAGUUGGAUGUGAAAUCCCCGGGCUUAACCUGGGAAUGGCAUUCAAGACUGGUUAGCUAGAGUCUUGUAGAGGGGGUAGAAUUCCAUGUGUAGCGGUGAAAUGCGUAGAGAUGUGGAGGAAUACCGGUGGCGAAGGCGGCCCCUGGGACAAAGACUGACGCUCAUGUGCGAAAGCGUGGGGAGCGAAACAGGAUUUAGAUACC